This 709-nucleotide ribosomal RNA is filed under the name Salmonella enterica subsp. arizonae. RNAcentral describes it as "partial 23S ribosomal RNA". It matches the Rfam family "Bacterial large subunit ribosomal RNA", at positions 1 to 741 of the family's 2925-position model. The record is from RNAcentral. Lineage: Bacteria; Pseudomonadati; Pseudomonadota; Gammaproteobacteria; Enterobacterales; Enterobacteriaceae.
GGGUUGUGAGGUUAAGCGACCAAGCGUACACGGUGGAUGCCCUGGCAGUCAGAGGCGAUGAAGGACGUGCUAAUCUGCGAAAAGCGCCGGUAAGGUGAUAUGAACCGUUAUAACCGGCGAUGUCCGAAUGGGGAAACCCAGUGUGACUCGUCACACUAUCAUUAACUGAAUCCAUAGGUUAAUGAGGCGAACCGGGGGAACUGAAACAUCUAAGUACCCCGAGGAAAAGAAAUCAACCGAGAUUCCCCCAGUAGCGGCGAGCGAACGGGGAGGAGCCCAGAGCCUGAAUCAGCAUGUGUGUUAGUGGAAGCGUCUGGAAAGGCGCGCGAUACAGGGUGACAGCCCCGUACACAAAAGCGCAUGUGCUGUGAGCUCGAUGAGUAGGGCGGGACACGUGGUAUCCUGUCUGAAUAUGGGGGGACCAUCCUCCAAGGCUAAAUACUCCUGACUGACCGAUAGUGAACCAGUACCGUGAGGGAAAGGCGAAAAGAACCCCGGCGAGGGGAGUGAAACAGAACCUGAAACCGUGUACGUACAAGCAGUGGGAGCAUGAGUUUACUCAUGUGACUGCGUACCUUUUGUAUAAUGGGUCAGCGACUUAUAUUCUGUAGCAAGGUUAACCGAAUAGGGGAGCCGGAGGGAAACCGAGUCUUAACCGGGCGUUAAGUUGCAGGGUAUAGACCCGAAACCCGGUGAUCUAGCCAUGGGC